This 403-nucleotide ribosomal RNA is filed under the name bacterium. Its description in RNAcentral is "partial 16S ribosomal RNA". It matches the Rfam family "Bacterial small subunit ribosomal RNA", at positions 355 to 776 of the family's 1533-position model. The record is from RNAcentral.
UGGGGAAUAUUGCACAAUGGAGGGAACUCUGAUGCAGCGACGCCGCGUGAACGAAGAAGGCUUUCGAGUCGUAACGUUCUUUUAUAUGGGAAGAUAAUGACGGUACCAUAAGAAGAAGCCCCGGCUAACUACGUGCCAGCAGCCGCGGUAAUACGUUGGGGGCUAGCGUUGUCCGGAAUCACUGGGCGUAAAGGGUUCGCAGGCGGAAAUGCAAGUCAGGUGUAAAAGGCAGUAGCUUAACUACUGUAAGCAUUUGAAACUGCAUAUCUUGAGAAGAGUAGAGGUAAGUGGAAUUUUUAGUGUAGCGGUGAAAUGCGUAGAUAUUAAAAAGAAUACCGGUGGCGAAGGCGACUUACUGGGCUCAUUCUGACGCUGAGGAACGAAAGCGUGGGUAGCAAACAGG